This 103-nucleotide small nuclear RNA is filed under the name Rhipicephalus sanguineus (brown dog tick). The record is from RNAcentral. Lineage: Eukaryota; Metazoa; Arthropoda; Arachnida; Ixodida; Ixodidae.
GCACUUCCAAAGUACAUAUACUAAAAUUGGAACGAUACAGAGAAGAUUAGCGUGGCCCCUGCUCAAAGAUGAUACUCAAAAUCGUGGAGCGUUCUAUUUUUUU